UACGAAGGGGGCUAGCGUUGCUCGGAAUUACUGGGCGUAAAGGGAGCGUAGGCGGACAUUUAAGUCAGGGGUGAAAUCCCGCAGCUCAACUGCGGAACUGCCUUUGAUACUGGGUAUCUUGAGUAUGGAAGAGGUGAGUGGAAUUCCGAGUGUAGAGGUGAAAUUCGUAGAUAUUCGGAGGAACACCAGUGGCGAAGGCGACAUACUGGCUCAUUACUGACGCUGAGGCUCGAAAGCGUGGGGAGCAAACAGG
Molecule: ribosomal RNA, 253 nt
Filed under: uncultured bacterium
Lineage: Bacteria
Description: partial 16S ribosomal RNA
Rfam family: Bacterial small subunit ribosomal RNA
Source: RNAcentral